Hordeum vulgare subsp. vulgare (domesticated barley) is the source of this 118-nucleotide non-coding RNA. The record is from Rfam. NCBI's taxonomy places the organism in Eukaryota, Viridiplantae, Streptophyta, Magnoliopsida, Poales, Poaceae.
CCGUGAAUUACGGGGCAAUUCUCCUUUGGCACCGGUAGUCCUGUACCAGUAGCAUAGCAACCAUGCAGCUAGCUAGGCCUUAGCUAGUGCCAAAGGAGAACUGCCCUGCGAUUUUGCG